AGAGUUUGAUCCUGGCUCAGGAUGAACGCUAGCUACAGGCUUAACACAUGCAAGUCGAGGGGCAGCAUGAACUUAGCUUGCUAAGUUUGAUGGCGACCGGCGCACGGGUGAGUAACACGUAUCCAACCUGCCGAUGACUCGGGGAUAGCCUUUCGAAAGAAAGAUUAAUACCCGAUGGCAUAGUUCUUCCGCAUGGUAGAACUAUUAAAGAAUUUCGGUCAUCGAUGGGGAUGCGUUCCAUUAGGUUGUUGGCGGGGUAACGGCCCACCAAGCCUUCGAUGGAUAGGGGGUUCUGAGAGGAAGGUCCCCCCANAUUGGAACUGAGACACGGUCCAAACUCCUACGGGAGGCA
RNAcentral lists this ribosomal RNA (352 nucleotides) under uncultured bacterium. RNAcentral describes it as "bacterial SSU rRNA". It matches the Rfam family "Bacterial small subunit ribosomal RNA", at positions 8 to 350 of the family's 1533-position model. The record is from RNAcentral.